GAUGAACGCUGGCGGCGUGCCUAAUACAUGCAAGUCGAGCGAACAGACGAGGAGCUUGCUCCUCUGACGUUAGCGGCGGACGGGUGAGUAACACGUGGAUAACUUACCUAUAAGACUGGGAUAACUUCGGGAAACCGGAGCUAAUACCGGAUAAUAUAUUGAACCGCAUGGUUCAAUAGUGAAAGACGGUUUUGCUGUCACUUAUAGAUGGAUCCGCGCCGCAUUAGCUAGUUGGUAAGGUAACGGCUUACCAAGGCAACGAUGCGUAGCCGACCUGAGAGGGUGAUCGGCCACACUGGAACUGAGACACGGUCCAGACUCCUACGGGAGGCAGCAGUAGGGAAUCUUCCGCAAUGGGCGAAAGCUUGACGGAGCAACGCCGCGUGAGUGAUGAAGGUCUUCGGAUCGUAAAACUCUGUUAUUAGGGAAGAACAAAUGUGUAAGUAACUAUGCACGUCUUGACGGUACCUAAUCAGAAAGCCACGGCUAACUACGUG
RNAcentral lists this ribosomal RNA (497 nucleotides) under uncultured bacterium. RNAcentral's name for it is "partial 16S ribosomal RNA". It matches the Rfam family "Bacterial small subunit ribosomal RNA", at positions 28 to 507 of the family's 1533-position model. The record is from RNAcentral.